Molecule: ribosomal RNA, 253 nt
Filed under: uncultured bacterium
Lineage: Bacteria
Description: partial 16S ribosomal RNA
Rfam family: Bacterial small subunit ribosomal RNA
Source: RNAcentral
GACAGAGGUGCCAAGCGUUAGGCGGAAUCACUGGGCUUAAAGCGUGUGUAGGCGGAAUUGUAAGUACCUUGUGAAAUCCCACGGCUCAACCGUGGAACUGCUCGGUAUACUGCUUUUCUUGAGCCACUUAGGGGCUGUCGGAACAAACGGUGGAGCGGUGAAAUGCGUAGAUAUCGGGAGGAACACCAGUGGCGAAGGCGACUUCUUGGCCUGUUCUUGACGCUGAGGCGCGAAAGCUGGGGGAGCAAACGGG